AUUGAACGCUGGCGGCAGGCCUAACACAUGCAAGUCGAGCGGAUGAAGGGAGCUUGCUCCUGGAUUCAGCGGCGGACGGGUGAGUAAUGCCUAGGAAUCUGCCUGGUAGUGGGGGAUAACGUCCGGAAACGGGCGCUAAUACCGCAUACGUCCUGAGGGAGAAAGUGGGGGAUCUUCGGACCUCACGCUAUCAGAUGAGCCUAGGUCGGAUUAGCUAGUUGGUGGGGUAAAGGCCUACCAAGGCGACGAUCCGUAACUGGUCUGAGAGGAUGAUCAGUCACACUGGAACUGAGACACGGUCCAGACUCCUACGGGAGGCAGCAGUGGGGAAUAUUGGACGAUGGGCGAAAGCUUGAUCCAGCCAUGCCGCGUGUGUGAAGAAGGUCUUCGGAUUGUAAAGCACUUUAAGUUGGGAGGAAGGGCAGUAAGUUAAUACCUUGCUGUUUUGACGUUACCAACAGAAUAAGCACCGGCUAACUUCGUG
Molecule: ribosomal RNA, 484 nt
Filed under: uncultured bacterium
Lineage: Bacteria
Description: partial 16S ribosomal RNA
Rfam family: Bacterial small subunit ribosomal RNA
Source: RNAcentral